GAUGGUCCUCUCCUGGUACUUUUGGUUUCUGGUUGUAGUUAUAUUUUUCAAGUUGGAACAAUCAAGCCAGAAGAGAUGGAGACAAGAAACUUCUGAUCUCAUUUGUCGUGUUUCAGAGAGAAUUUCCACAACUUGAAAUGCUGUGGCUGGGAAGGUUCUUCGGAAGUCCAAAGCGUAUCAAGAUUUUAGUAUCUUUUUGCAGGAAUCUGUAACUGUAAAAAAGUGUAACAUAGUCUUGGAAAGUUCAAAUGUUUUGUUCCUGUCAAUAAAGAGUUUUUAGUAUUAGUUCUAAGUAUUUCAGCCUUUGAAUCUUUUUUUACCUCCCACAUGUAUGGGGGCU
Bufo bufo (common toad) is the source of this 340-nucleotide long non-coding RNA. RefSeq lists it as uncharacterized. The record is from RefSeq and is a predicted model, not a curated record. Lineage: Eukaryota; Metazoa; Chordata; Amphibia; Anura; Bufonidae. The transcript has 3 exons.